Molecule: transfer RNA, 66 nt
Filed under: Sphenomorphus melanopogon
Lineage: Eukaryota; Metazoa; Chordata; Lepidosauria; Squamata; Scincidae
Description: tRNA-His
Rfam family: tRNA
About the family: Transfer RNA (tRNA) molecules are approximately 80 nucleotides in length. Their secondary structure includes four short double-helical elements and three loops (D, anti-codon, and T loops).
Source: RNAcentral
GUUAAUAUAGUUUAAAAAAACAUUAGGUUGUGGUCCUAAAAAUAGAAGUUUAACCCUUCUUGUUUA